UCCCGUUGAUCCUGCGGGAGAUUGCUGCUAUUGGGAUUCGACUAAGCCAUGCAAGUAUUCUAGCAAUAGAUGCGGAAGGCUCAGUAACACGUCGGUAACCUGCCCUAUGGUCAGGGAUAACCUCGCGAAAGUGAGGGUAAACCUUGAUAAGGAACAAGCCCUGGAAUGGGCUCUUUCUGAAACUCGUGCCAUAGGAUGGGCCGGCGGCGGAUUAGGCUGUUGGCGGUGUAAUGGACCACCAAACCUUUGAUCCGUACGGGCCAUGAGAGUGGUAGCCCGGAGAGGGACACUGAGAUACUGGUCCCAGCCCCACGGGGUGCAGCAGGCGCGAAACCUUUACAAUGCACGCAAGUGUGAUAAGGGGAUCCCAAGUGCUCAACACUGUUGGGCUUUUGCCAAGUGUAAAAAGCUUGGCGAAUAAGGGGUGGGUAAGACUGGUGCCAGCCGCCGCGGUAACACCAGCGCCCCAAGUGGCAAUCGCGAUUAUUGGGCCUAAAGCGUCCGUAGCAGGUCUUGUAAAUCCUUUGUGAAAUCGGCAAGCUUAACUUGUCGGCGUGCAGAGGACACUGCAGGACUCGAGACCGGGAGAAGUCAGAAGUAUUUCCUGGGUACCGGUAAAAUGGGUUAAUCCAGGGAGGACUACCAAUGGCGAAGGCAUCUGACUAGAACGGAUCUGACUGUGAGGGACGAAAGCUAGGGGAGCAAAACGGAUUAGAUACCCGAGUAGUCCUAGCCGUAAACGCUGCGAGCAAGGUAUUGCGCACCCCACGAGGAUGCGCAGUGUCGAAGAGAAGUCGUUAAGCUCGCCGCCAGGGAAGUACGGUCGCAAGGCUGAAACUUUAAGGAAUUGGCGGGGGAGCACCACAAGGGGUGCGGCGUGCGGUUCAAUCUAACUCAACGCAGAGAACCUCACUAGGCCCGACGGCAGAAUGAAGGUCAUGCUGAAGACAUUACCUGACAAGCCGAGAGGUAGUGCAUGGCCAUCGUCAGCUCGUGCUGUGAAGUGUCCAGUUAAGUCUGGCAGCGAGCGAGACCUGUACCCUCUAUUGCUAACAACCGUUCCGACGGGAUUGAGCACUUUGAGGGGACUGCCCUGGAAACAGGGAGGAAGGUGCAGGCUACGGUAGGUCUGUAUGCUCCGAAUGGUCUAGGCUACACGCGCGCAACAAUGGUAUGGACAAUGGGAUGCCACUCCGAAAGGAGGAGCUAAACCUCUAAACCAUAUCUUAGUUCAGAUCGAGGCUUGUAACCCAGCCUCGUGACGCUGGAAUCCCUAGUAAUCGGACGUCAUCAUCGUCCGGUGAAUAUGUCCCUGCUCCUUGCACACACCGCCCGUCAAACCAACCGAGCAGGGUUUAGGUAAACCUCAACUUUAUUGGUUGUGUUGAACCUGAGCUCAGUGAGGUGGGUUAAGUCGUCACAAGGUC
This 1427-nucleotide ribosomal RNA is filed under the name metagenome. RNAcentral describes it as "bacterial SSU rRNA". It matches the Rfam family "Archaeal small subunit ribosomal RNA". The record is from RNAcentral.